GAACAUCUUCGCGGGGGAGGAAUAGCUAAUGAAAACAUACUAUUUUUUAAAUUCAUGAUGUUCGUAGGGAAAAUAAUGAUAAUACCUUACUAUGAGUGUCGUCCAAAUCUGGUGCCAGAGACUCGGUAAGACCAGAGACGCAAACGUUAAUCAUCAUAAACAGGCGUAAAGGGUUUGUAGGCCAGCUUUCACCGAAGGUUCUGUAUUACAUAGACUAAUAGUAGUUUCACUUGAAAAGCUAGAAAUCAAAAAGAGGUUUAUAGUGUAUAACGCCUAGAGGAGGGCUGAUAUCCAUAGAUCCUAGGCAGAAUACUCAGGGCGAAGGCCACUCUCCACUACUGAUGACGCUGAAAAACGAAGUUAGGGUAGGCAUUAGGAUUUAGUACCCCG
Molecule: ribosomal RNA, 390 nt
Filed under: Metacampanella tricolor
Lineage: Eukaryota; Fungi; Basidiomycota; Agaricomycetes; Agaricales; Campanellaceae
Description: partial small subunit ribosomal RNA
Rfam family: Bacterial small subunit ribosomal RNA
Source: RNAcentral